RNAcentral lists this ribosomal RNA (738 nucleotides) under uncultured bacterium. RNAcentral describes it as "bacterial SSU rRNA". It matches the Rfam family "Bacterial small subunit ribosomal RNA", at positions 28 to 755 of the family's 1533-position model. The record is from RNAcentral.
AGUGAACGCUGGCGGCAUGCCUAACACAUGCAAGUCGAACGGCAGCACAGCAGUAGCAAUACUGUGGGUGGCGAGUGGCGGACGGGUGAGGAAUACAUCGGAAUCUGCCCGGUUGUGGGGGAUAACGUAGGGAAACUUACGCUAAUACCGCAUACGAUCGAGAGAUGAAAGCGGGGGACCGUAAGGCCUCGCGCAGUCGGAUGAGCCGAUGUCGGAUUAGCUAGUUGGCGGGGUAAAGGCCCACCAAGGCGACGAUCCGUAGCUGGUCUGAGAGGAUGAUCAGCCACACUGGGACUGAGACACGGCCCAGACUCCUACGGGAGGCAGCAGUGGGGAAUAUUGGACAAUGGGGGCAACCCUGAUCCAGCAAUGCCGCGUGUGUGAAGAAGGCCUUCGGGUUGUAAAGCACUUUUAUCUGGAACGAAACACGCAGGGUGAAUAUCCCUGCGGACUGACGGUACCAGAGGAAUAAGCACCGGCUAACUUCGUGCCAGCAGCCGCGGUAAUACGAAGGGUGCAAGCGUUACUCGGAAUUACUGGGCGUAAAGCGUGCGUAGGUGGUUUCUUAAGUCUGCUGUGAAAGCCCCGGGCUCAACCUGGGAAUUGCAGUGGAUACUGGGGAGCUAGAGUGCGGUAGAGGGUAGUGGAAUUCCCGGUGUAGCGGUGAAAUGCGUAGAGAUCGGGAGGAACACCAGUGGCGANNNCGGCUACCUGGACCAGCACUGACACUGAGGCACG